AUAUGUAACACUUAUCAUGAACCUCACUAACUAAUCUAUGAUUCUAACAUAAACCCUAAUUCCUAAAAAUCAUGAAGUUCUAACUAGAACUCACCUUGCUAUGAAGAAUAUGAUGAAGUUUGGUGAAGAAAAUAUUGAAUGAUGAUGAAAUGAAGUUGUAGAUGAUGAUAAUGAUGAUGAUAUUGUGAAGAUAAUGAGUUCUUCUUCAAGCUUCUUCUUCCUUCCUCUUCUUUCUUCUUCCUUUUCUUUUCUUUCUUUUUUCUUAUUUCUCUCUUU
This 276-nucleotide long non-coding RNA is filed under the name Lathyrus oleraceus (garden pea). RNAcentral describes it as "Pisum sativum (pea) long non-coding RNA (PSAT_LNC026707)". The record is from RNAcentral. Lineage: Eukaryota; Viridiplantae; Streptophyta; Magnoliopsida; Fabales; Fabaceae.